GGUCAAUGAUGAAUAGUAAAAGGUCUGAUUUUCCCAGUGGUUUGCCCUCUUUACCAUUGUAGCUCCCAGCAAUUUCUCAUCCAUCAUACUCUAGACGUGCUAUGAUUUGGACAGUAUUUGCUGAAAAGUAGAGAUAUAUUCAACUUGUGUUACUCUACAGUACUGGGUAGACACGGCUGAUAUUGCUAUCCAACAUAAACAGUUAAAGGAGUUUGAGGUAUUGGAGCAACAUCUGGGUAUAUGAUCUCAAUCUUUUAGCUGAGACC
Rhineura floridana is the source of this 266-nucleotide non-coding RNA. RefSeq annotates it as small Cajal body-specific RNA 6. The transcript has a single exon. NCBI's taxonomy places the organism in Eukaryota, Metazoa, Chordata, Lepidosauria, Squamata, Rhineuridae. The record is from RefSeq and is a predicted model, not a curated record.